Molecule: transfer RNA, 75 nt
Filed under: Canis lupus familiaris (dog)
Lineage: Eukaryota; Metazoa; Chordata; Mammalia; Carnivora; Canidae
Also listed under: 1 other name
Rfam family: tRNA
About the family: Transfer RNA (tRNA) molecules are approximately 80 nucleotides in length. Their secondary structure includes four short double-helical elements and three loops (D, anti-codon, and T loops).
Source: Rfam by way of RNAcentral
AUCUGGGUAGCUCAGUGGUUGAGCACCUGCCUUCGGCUCAGGUCAUGAUCCUGGGAUCCAGUCCCACCCCAGGCU